This 253-nucleotide ribosomal RNA is filed under the name uncultured bacterium. RNAcentral describes it as "partial 16S ribosomal RNA". It matches the Rfam family "Bacterial small subunit ribosomal RNA", at positions 524 to 776 of the family's 1533-position model. The record is from RNAcentral.
UACGUAGGUGGCGAGCGUUGUCCGGAUUUACUGGGCGUAAAGGGAGCGUAGGCGGAUUUUUAAGUGAGAUGUGAAAUACUCGGGCUCAACUUGAGUGCUGCAUUUCAAACUGGAAGUCUAGAGUGCAGGAGAGGAGAAUGGAAUUCCUAGUGUAGCGGCGAAAUGCGUAGAGAUUAGGAAGAACACCAGUGGCGAAGGCGAUUCUCUGGACUGUAACUGACGCUGAGGCUCGAAAGCGUGGGGAGCAAACAGG